Molecule: ribosomal RNA, 551 nt
Filed under: uncultured bacterium
Lineage: Bacteria
Description: bacterial SSU rRNA
Rfam family: Bacterial small subunit ribosomal RNA
Source: RNAcentral
GAUGCAACGCGAAAAACCUUACCUACCCUUGACAUGCCAGGAACUUACCAGAGAUGGUUUGGUGCUCGAAAGAGAGCCUGGACACAGGUGCUGCAUGGCUGUGGUCAUCCCGUGUCGUGAGAUGUUGGGUUAAGUCCCGCAACGAGCGCGACCCUUGUCGUUAAUUGCCAUCAUUAAGUUGGGCACUUUAGCGAGACUACCGGUGACAAACCGGAGGAAGGUGGGGAGGACGUCAAGUCCUCAUGGCCCUUAUAGGUGGGGCUACACACGUCAUUCAAUGGCUGGUACAAAGGGUUGCCAACCCGCGAGGGGGAGCUAAUCCCAUAAAGCCAGUCGUAGUCCGGAUCGCAGUCUGCAACUCGACUGCGUGAAGUCGGAAUCGCUAGUAAUCGUGGAUCAGAAUGUCACGGUGAAUACGUUCCCGGGUCUUGUACACACCGCCCGUCACACCAUGGGAGCGGGUUCUGCCAGAAGUAGUUAGCCUAACCGCAAGGAGGGCGAUUACCACGGCAGGGUUCGUGACUGGGGUGAAGUCGUAACAAGGUAACCGU